AGGACGAACGCUGGCGGCGUGCUUAACACAUGCAAGUGGAGCGACGAACCGGGGCUUGCCCCGGGGCAGAGCCGCGAACGGGUGAGUAACACGUGGGUUACCUGCCUCAAUGACCGGGACAACCCGAGGAAACUCGGGCUAAUACCGGAUGUGCCCGUAAGGGGAAAGGAAGCUUCGGCCUCCGCAUUGAGAUGGGCCCGCGGCCCAUUAGCUUGUUGGUGAGGUAACGGCUCACCAAGGCUUCGAUGGGUAGCUGGUCUGAGAGGACAAUCAGCCACACUGGGACUGAGACACGGCCCAGACUCCUACGGGAGGCAGCAGUGGGGAAUCUUGCGCAAUGCGCGAAAGCGUGACGCAGCAACGCCGCGUGGGGGAAGAAGGCUUUCGGGUUGUAAACCCCUUUCAGUUGGGACGAAGCUUCGUCGGUUAAUAGCCGACCGGAGUGACGGUACCUUCACAAGAGCACCGGCUAACUACGUGCCAGCAGCCGCGGUA
This 495-nucleotide ribosomal RNA is filed under the name uncultured bacterium. RNAcentral's name for it is "SSU rRNA". It matches the Rfam family "Bacterial small subunit ribosomal RNA", at positions 26 to 522 of the family's 1533-position model. The record is from RNAcentral.